Molecule: ribosomal RNA, 253 nt
Filed under: uncultured bacterium
Lineage: Bacteria
Description: partial 16S ribosomal RNA
Rfam family: Bacterial small subunit ribosomal RNA
Source: RNAcentral
UACGAAGGGGGCUAGCGUUGUUCGGAAUUACUGGGCGUAAAGCGCGCGCAGGCGGUUCUCCAAGUCAGUGGUGAAAGCCCGGAGCUCAACUCCGGAACUGCCAUUGAAACUGUUGAACUUGAGGACGAGAGAGGUGAGUGGAAUUCCCAGUGUAGAGGUGAAAUUCGUAGAUAUUGGGAAGAACACCGGUGGCGAAGGCGGCUCACUGGCUCAUUACUGACGCUCAGGCGCGAUAGCGUGGGGAUCAAACAGG